GCUGUAUUCUCGUCACACAAAAGACACUAGCCACUUCAGAUGUCUUUUUGAGCAGGACUGAAACCAGCAGACAUCAUGUGUCUAUUUUGAAUCCCAUAUGGUAUAAGGGAGAAUGCCAUGGGUCCUGCCCUGAACGGAAGUGCACAGAAAUCCUGGGCUGAAUUAACAAACUAACAUGCCCAUAAGCCAGAAAUACCUCCUAUCUGUAUAUCAACAAGAAACAUGGUGGAAGAACCAGAGCAUGCUAUAAGAUGUUUCGGUAAAAGCCUUCAAACAGUCUGCUUUACUCCAUAAGAGAGAAACACAGAUCAAACUAUGGAUCCAAACACUCACCCAGAUUGCAG
This is a long non-coding RNA of Mauremys reevesii (Reeves's turtle), 344 nucleotides long. RefSeq lists it as uncharacterized. Lineage: Eukaryota; Metazoa; Chordata; Testudines; Geoemydidae. The transcript has 4 exons. The record is from RefSeq and is a predicted model, not a curated record.